Molecule: microRNA precursor, 57 nt
Filed under: Panagrellus redivivus
Lineage: Eukaryota; Metazoa; Nematoda; Chromadorea; Rhabditida; Panagrolaimidae
Description: microRNA prd-mir-7905 precursor
Source: miRBase by way of RNAcentral
ACCGUAACUGAUGCUUUUCAUCGUCUUUUUCACCGAUGAGAAGGAUCAUUACGUGCA